RNAcentral lists this long non-coding RNA (538 nucleotides) under Vulpes vulpes (red fox). RNAcentral's name for it is "lncRNA (ENSVVUG00000005531.1)". Lineage: Eukaryota; Metazoa; Chordata; Mammalia; Carnivora; Canidae. The record is from RNAcentral.
GCUGCAGAGCCCCCCUCCGUCGGCCUGUGCGCCCAGGGGGACCGACGCCUGGGGUCGCCGCACGAGCUGGGCAUUUGAAUCCCGGGAGGGGGACCUGUGCAGCCGUCGGCUCCCGGGAGGCUACGCAGCAGAAGUUGAUUGACAGAUGCAUACCAGAAAGCCCCAUUCUCCUUUUCAAAGACAACAUAUGAUGGAUUGCGAUCUCUCAGCCCAGCAGGAUACGGGGACCAUGCAAGCUGUAAUUGGUCAGCGGCCUGCCAGCGGAGUGCUGCAAGUGCGAGAGGCAAAAGGCACCCAGUAAAUGGAGCCAGGGAACCUCAGCCCUCAAACUUCCACGCGAGGCUUCACAGCAAAAAUCGAAACCACCACCACCACCACCACCACAAAAAUCCAAGGGCGAAUCUCAUUUCUAAUUUGGUCUGGAUGGGGUGGGUUUUGUUUUGUUUUGUUUUGCUGAUUUGAUGUUUCAGAAUUUAUUUUCUGCCGAGAUGGUGAUCUCUGAAGCAAAGUGUGAGGGGGGAAUAAAGUGCCAUGUUUC